This 690-nucleotide ribosomal RNA is filed under the name Flavobacterium sp. Y4_251_6. RNAcentral describes it as "bacterial SSU rRNA". It matches the Rfam family "Bacterial small subunit ribosomal RNA", at positions 61 to 752 of the family's 1533-position model. The record is from RNAcentral. Lineage: Bacteria; Pseudomonadati; Bacteroidota; Flavobacteriia; Flavobacteriales; Flavobacteriaceae.
GUCGAGGGGUAUUUAUCUUCGGAUAGAGAGACCGGCGCACGGGUGCGUAACGCGUAUGCAAUCUACCUUUUACAGAGGGAUAGCCCAGAGAAAUUUGGAUUAAUACCUCAUAGUAUAUAGACUCGGCAUCAGGAUUAUAUUAAAGUCACAACGGUAAAAGAUGAGCAUGCGUCCCAUUAGCUAGUUGGUAAGGUAACGGCUUACCAAGGCUACGAUGGGUAGGGGUCCUGAGAGGGAGAUCCCCCACACUGGUACUGAGACACGGACCAGACUCCUACGGGAGGCAGCAGUGAGGAAUAUUGGACAAUGGGCGCAAGCCUGAUCCAGCCAUGCCGCGUGCAGGAUGACGGUCCUAUGGAUUGUAAACUGCUUUUAUACGAGAAGAAACACUACUUCGUGAAGUAGCUUGACGGUAUCGUAAGAAUAAGGAUCGGCUAACUCCGUGCCAGCAGCCGCGGUAAUACGGAGGAUCCAAGCGUUAUCCGGAAUCAUUGGGUUUAAAGGGUCCGUAGGCGGUUUAAUAAGUCAGUGGUGAAAGCCCAUCGCUCAACGGUGGAACGGCCAUUGAUACUGUUAGACUUGAAUUAUUAGGAAGUAACUAGAAUAUGUAGUGUAGCGGUGAAAUGCUUAGAGAUUACAUGGAAUACCAAUUGCGAAGGCAGGUUACUACUAAUUGAUUGACGCUGAUGG